This 443-nucleotide ribosomal RNA is filed under the name uncultured bacterium. RNAcentral describes it as "partial 16S ribosomal RNA". It matches the Rfam family "Bacterial small subunit ribosomal RNA", at positions 338 to 795 of the family's 1533-position model. The record is from RNAcentral.
CCUACGGGUGGCAGCAGUGGGGAAUAUUGGGCAAUGGGCGCAAGCCUGACCCAGCAACGCCGCGUGAAGGAAGAAGGCUUUCGGGUUGUAAACUUCUUUUCUGAGGGACGAAGAACGUGACGGUACCUCAGGACUAAGCCACGGCUAACUACGUGCAAGCAGCCGCGGUAAUACGUAGGUGGCAGGCGUUAUCCGGAUUUAUUGGGUGUAAAGGGCGGGGUGGCGGGAAAGAAAGUCAGAUGUGCAAUCCCAGGGGUCAACCCUGGGCCUGCAGUUGAAACUGGUUGUCUUGAGUGCUGGAGAGGCAAUCGGAAUGCCGUGUGUAGCGGUGAAAUGCGUAGAUAUACGGAAGAACACCAGUGGCGAAGGCGGAUUGCUGGACAGUAACUGACGCUGAGGCGCGAAAGCGUGGGGAGCAAACAGGAUUAGAUACCCGGGUAGUC